UUGACAAUUGGACCGUGAAGGCAUACUUUCAGGAGUGAGGGUAGAGCGGGGUUUCCCCCGCCCUGGUAGUCUUAGUAUGCUGGGUAGCUAAUCACUAAGAGCACCACGAUGAUGAGUAUCUUCAUCAUGACCCUUUCCUUAUU
RNAcentral lists this small RNA (143 nucleotides) under Escherichia coli. Its description in RNAcentral is "Short Intergenic Abundant RNA". It matches the Rfam family "Short Intergenic Abundant RNA". Rfam says of the family: This family contains multiple ncRNA from E. coli that were identified in a large scale screen of E. coli, were they were called candidates 43,55 and 61. These RNAs have also been identified by other groups and called QUAD RNAs. RNAcentral also lists the same sequence under 1 other name. Lineage: Bacteria; Pseudomonadati; Pseudomonadota; Gammaproteobacteria; Enterobacterales; Enterobacteriaceae. The record is from RNAcentral.